GAUAAAACCUAACCCCUUUUAGUUUACGCGAAUUAGGUUUUCCUCAGUCCCUCUCUUCUCUCUCACUCUCCUUCUAUUCUCUCAGAUGCAGAUCUCGCCGCCAUCGCACAGCUCAAGUGACUCCCCAAGACCUCGCCAGAUUUGGUUUAUCUAGAUGAGAUCAAAGAACAGGCAGGCCCAAAAGUUGGUGAGUCUCUCUAUCUCUCUCCCACAAAUGUACACAUAAGUGGAGCAUUAUGAUGAGGAAGUUGGUUAGACUUUUUACAAGACUAUAUAUUUAGCUCGAAGGCUUCUGUUUUAUCAUGAAUUAGGUUUUGUUUUAAAGUAUUGGAAACUUGUUAUUAUAUCAAGCUAAAUUUCUGGAAACGCCAUAUAUCCAUUUUUUCACCUUUACAUCAUGCUCAAUAGAUGCUUUCAAUGUGUUUUCAUCGCUUAAUCCCAACAAGUGGAUUGAAUUUAAGUUGCAAGAUACUGCAAGGGUUAGCCACAACACUCAAUUGUUCAGGUAUAUCCUCUGGACUCUCUCCAGAUUCCUUAAAUAUGUUAAACUAUUAUCUGAAAGAAAUUAAUUUAGAUCAGAAGAAUCACAGCAAGAACAAAUUUUUGUAGUUUCAAAUAAAUCUGCAAUAAUAUGAAGAUGUCCUUUUUAUUUAUUUAUGUUUCCUAUAGGUUUUUAGACAUGGAAAUUGAUUUCUUUUAGUUGUCUGUAAAAAUUGGCAGAUUUACUGGUACUUGGCUUUAGCUUGUUCAGAUGGUGGGUUGUUUGGUUUUUAAAAGAUCUGGUACUUGGCUUUAGCUUGUUCAGAUGGUGGAUGGUGUUUUAUGCAGAUCUUUGAGGAGAAGAAGCA
Long non-coding RNA from Prunus avium (sweet cherry), 848 nucleotides. RefSeq lists it as uncharacterized. The record is from RefSeq and is a predicted model, not a curated record. Lineage: Eukaryota; Viridiplantae; Streptophyta; Magnoliopsida; Rosales; Rosaceae.